GUGUCAGCCGCCGCGGUAAGACGAGCUCUCCAAACGUUAUUCGGUAUCACUGGGCUUAAAGAGUUCGUAGGCGGUCCCGUAGGUGAGGUGUGAAAUCCCUCGGCUCAACCGAGGAAUUGCGCUUCAAACCGUGGGACUUGAGGGAGGCAGAGGUAAGCGGAACAGAUGGUGGAGCGGUGAAAUGCGUUGAUAUCAUCUGGAACACCGGUGGCGAAAGCGGCUUACUGGGUCUCUUCUGACGCUGAGGAACGAAAGCUAGGGUAGCGAACGGGAUUAGAUACCCGCGUAGUCC
Molecule: ribosomal RNA, 292 nt
Filed under: uncultured bacterium
Lineage: Bacteria
Description: partial 16S ribosomal RNA
Rfam family: Bacterial small subunit ribosomal RNA
Source: RNAcentral